Molecule: transfer RNA, 74 nt
Filed under: Candidatus Latescibacterota bacterium
Lineage: Bacteria; Pseudomonadati; Candidatus Latescibacterota
Description: Candidatus Latescibacteria bacterium tRNA-Arg
Rfam family: tRNA
About the family: Transfer RNA (tRNA) molecules are approximately 80 nucleotides in length. Their secondary structure includes four short double-helical elements and three loops (D, anti-codon, and T loops).
Source: RNAcentral
ACGCCCAUGGCUCAACUGGAUAGAGCGUCUGGCUACGGACCAGAAGGUUGGGGGUUCAAGUCCUCCUGGGCGUA